RNAcentral lists this ribosomal RNA (468 nucleotides) under uncultured bacterium. RNAcentral describes it as "partial 16S ribosomal RNA". It matches the Rfam family "Bacterial small subunit ribosomal RNA", at positions 28 to 507 of the family's 1533-position model. The record is from RNAcentral.
GACGAACGCUGGCGGCGUGCUUAACACAUGCAAGUCGAACGGAAAGGCCCUGCUUUUGUGGGGUGCUCGAGUGGCGAACGGGUGAGUAACACGUGAGUAACCUGCCCUUGACUUUGGGAUAACUCCAGGAAACUCGGGCUAAUACCGGAUAGGAGCUCCUGCUGCAUGGGGUGGGUUGGUAAGUUUCGGCGGUUGGGUAUGGACUCGCGGCUUAUCAGCUUGUUGGUGGGGUAGUGGCUUACCAAGGCUUUGACGGGUAGCCGGCCUUAGAGGGUGACCGGCCACAUUGGGACUGCGAGACGGCGCAGAAUGCUACGGGAGGCAGCAGUGGGGAAUAUUGCAGAAUGGGGGGAAGCCUGAUGCAGCAACGCUGCGUGCGGGAUGCCGGCCUUCGGGUUGUAAACAGCUGUCGCCUGUGACGAAGAGUGAGUGACGGUAAUGGGUAAAGAAGCAACGGCUAACUACGUG